Molecule: ribosomal RNA, 445 nt
Filed under: uncultured bacterium
Lineage: Bacteria
Description: partial 16S ribosomal RNA
Rfam family: Bacterial small subunit ribosomal RNA
Source: RNAcentral
GUGAGGAAUAUUGGUCAAUGGGCGGGAGCCUGAACCAGCCAAGUCGCGUGAAGGAAGAAGGAUCUAUGGUUCGUAAACUUCUUUUGCAGGGGAAUAAAGUGCGGGACGUGUCCUGUUUUGUAUGUACCCUGAGAAUAAGGAUCGGCUAACUCCGUGCCAGCAGCCGCGGUAAUACGGAGGAUCCGAGCGUUAUCCGGAUUUAUUGGGUUUAAAGGGUGCGUAGGUGGUUUGAUAAGUCAGCGGUGAAAGUUUGCAGCUUAACUGUAAAAAUGCCGUUGAAACUGUCGGACUUGAGUGUAAAUGAGGUAGGCGGAAUGCGUGGUGUAGCGGUGAAAUGCAUAGAUAUCACGCAGAACUCCGAUUGCGAAGGCAGCUUACUAAGCUACAACUGACACUGAAGCACGAAAGCGUGAGGAUCAAACAGGAUUAGAAACCCGGGUAGUCC